AAGUCGUAACAAGGUUUCCGUAGGUGAACCUGCGGAAGGAUCAUUAUCGAGUACCGGGUCUUCUAGGCCCUUACUCCCACCCUUUGUGUACCUACCUAUUUUCGUUGCCUUGGUGGGGUUGAUCCCAAUGCCUCACGGCCUUGGGGGACCUGCCAGGGGGACACAUCUAAACUCUUGUUAACUGUGUCGUCUGAGAACAAACAUAACAAAUUAAAACUUUCAACAACGGAUCUCUUGGUUCUG
RNAcentral lists this unclassified non-coding RNA (243 nucleotides) under fungal sp. Its description in RNAcentral is "partial internal transcribed spacer region". The stretch from base 1 to 46 matches the Rfam family "Eukaryotic small subunit ribosomal RNA", at positions 1786 to 1831 of the family's 1831-position model. The record is from RNAcentral. Lineage: Eukaryota; Fungi.